CUCUCGUCCGAGUGGAGCGUGCCUGUUAACGGUCCUCAAAUGUCUUCCAGGGAGAAUGGUCUUGUUUAGCUGGAUUUCAUCUCUAUUUACGGGCAUUUCAUCUGUGCGAAGAGGGGCAGAUUGUUUCCUAUUCUGUUGCUAUUUUUUUUGGUUUUGUUUGCCUUUCAGAUUGUUCCCCAUUCUGUAUUUUGUUUUGUUUUGGCAUUGCCAUGCCCUUUGUUCCUUCUACUUCUGAGUUUUGGGUUUUUUCUUUGUCAUUUUCCAUUCAUGGUAUUUUGUAAAUAUUUUGUGUGUGGAUCGCAAUUUUUCAAUGGUAAAUUAGUUCGACCAUGAUAGGCCUUGAUUUUUGUUUGCUCAUAAUUGUUUUCCACAAGGAAGCUGCAGUUCCACAAUUUUAGAAGUCUUUUCUGAGCUGUCCAUUUUGCUGGCCUUCACUAUCCUCAACAGUGUUCAGCCCAUGCUUUCAGGGAGGAGUUCAAGAAGAGCUAUAACGAGGCCGAUCCUAAAGCCAAGGGUAUUUCCCAGGUUGCCGAAAAUGGUGGUGAUAAAUUGAUGGUGGCUAAUGAGCUGGAGGCUAGACAUGGCAAAGGAGGAUUGGUUGCUUAAUCAGGCUGUUUUGAAGAAAAUACAUGGUAGACCUGAAUACCAGCAACAAAAUCCCAUGAUAGCUCAAAAUCCCAUGAUGGUGCUUCAACAAAUCCAUGUACAAACUUGCCCAUCAUCUCCAAGUGAAUCCAUCAUUCAGUCUCUUUAUGAUGGUUUUUGUUCACUGUUUAUCAAAAUUCAGUCUCUUUAUCAUGGUUUUAGUUCACUGUUUAUCAAACUUUGAACGUUUAUUUUUCUUUGCCUUGUUUUAAAAGCAAUACGGACUGCUUUUUGGAUUCUUUUUGCAACAGGACAGCAUUAUCCUUGUUUUUAGUUCAUCUGUUUUAUCAUCAGUUAGGAUAUCUUAGAAGUAUUAUUUUAAGUGUGAUUGUAAAAAUCUUCUAUUGCAGCAAAGAAGAGCAAUUUCUUUCAUAA
This is an RNA transcript of Cryptomeria japonica (Japanese cedar), 1020 nucleotides long. RefSeq lists it as uncharacterized. Lineage: Eukaryota; Viridiplantae; Streptophyta; Pinopsida; Cupressales; Cupressaceae. The record is from RefSeq and is a predicted model, not a curated record. The transcript is spliced from 6 exons.